Molecule: ribosomal RNA, 465 nt
Filed under: uncultured bacterium
Lineage: Bacteria
Description: partial 16S ribosomal RNA
Rfam family: Bacterial small subunit ribosomal RNA
Source: RNAcentral
GACGAACGCUGGCGGCGUGCUUAACACAUGCAAGUCGAACGGAAAGGCCCCUUUGGGGGUACUCGAGUGGCGACCGGUUGAGUAACACGUGAGUAACCUUCCCUUGACUUCGGGAUAACUUCAGGAAACUGGGGCUAAUACCGGAUAGGAAUCCUUGCUGCAUGGUGGGGGUUGGAAAGCUUCUGCGGUUUUGGAUGGACUCGCGGCUUAUCAGCUUGUUGGUGGGGUAGUGGCUUACCAAGGCUUUGACGGGUAGCCGGCCUGUGGGGGCGAGCGGCCACAUUGGGACUGAGAGACGGCACAGACUCCUACGGGAGGCAGCAGUGCGGAAUAUUGAACCAUGGGCGGAAGCCUGAUGAAGCAACGCCGCGUGCGGGAUGACGGCCUUCGGGUUGUAAACCGCUUUCAGCAGGGGCGAAGCUUGUGGUGACGGUACCUGCAGAAGAAGCACCGGCUAACUACGUG